ACCAGAGGUCCAACCCCGUUGCCAGU
Molecule: non-coding RNA, 26 nt
Filed under: Rattus norvegicus (Norway rat)
Lineage: Eukaryota; Metazoa; Chordata; Mammalia; Rodentia; Muridae
Source: RNAcentral